AGGCUUUCUCUCAGCCACAAUCUUAGCUUAGCUGUAAGGAAGACUGCAGUCACGUAGCACUUUGCUUCCAGGGAUCUCAAAGAACUUUAUGCAUCAUUUAUCGUGACCCUUGUUUUACAAAAGACCAGUUACCUGAGGUUUGGGCGGGGGUUAGGGGAUAGAUGUUUGAGGUAUAUUUACACCAUUAAUCGAGUGAGGGGGAAAAAAGACAAAACCUCUGGUUUAGCGGUUUCCUCCUCGAUCUGAAGCCCCUUCUCGCAGUCAUCUCAGCAAUGAAACUUCCUUUAUUUGUCCAGCACGAGAGGGCCAAAGAAACAGGUUUAUCCUCUCACCCAAAAGCCCUUUCUGAGACGGCUGGCCAGACACACACAGAGCACAGAGCCCUGCUUGGGAAGGAAGGUUCAGAGAACAAAUUGCCUUUUAAAACUGUUGGGCUGGACCUGCCUCUUCCAAAGCUAAAAAUGGUGAGUCAGGAUUUAGGCGUCCAUGCUCUGGGGAGAGAAGGCAGAUGUAAUUGGGGAAAGCUCUGGCUGGCAGGGUGUUGGGGUACAGGCGAGUUGGGGAGCUAGGUCUCCCAAGGGGGCCAGCAAUGCGCGUGCUAGUCGAUUGCGGGCUCCCGACGCGAGACACCCCAAAACCUGCUCCCCAGUGAGAACAAAGGCAGGCGCGGAGCGAGAACCUGAUUGGUGCCCGGUCCUCACCGGUGUCCUCCGGGCCCCGGAGAUAACUUGCUUCACCCACUGGCGCGGAGCUCCGUCUCACUGGAGCCCCAGCUCCCCACCCGGCCUUGGCUGUGACCACACAGGACUGUGCGUUAUGACAUCACCUGUUUUCGCUCUUUAGAACACGAUCAGUAUUCUCGGCUUCUCCUUUUUUAAAGGUCUCUAGUGCACAAGGAUUUGCGAAGGCCUGCCGUUCACAGAAUGAAUCUGUGGAGAUGAUUUAAAAGAACGGUUGCACUGUGCUUCAACAACAUCAUUCUACCCGGAUUCCAGAGUGAGAUCAGGUGCUGAUUUCAGUGUCUGUGAUGUUACAUCUGAGAGUCUUCACUGGGUUUGAAACUGAGUGCUCCAAGCAAGUGGAUACCUUUUCUUCUUCUGCUAUCCCAGGGAAACACUGAGAUUAUUUCAGCAAAAAUAACAUUUCUGCCAAUCUGCAUCAUAACUCAGAGAGGCAGCUGGUCAAGUUAGCAAAGAAAACUGAUACUUAGUCCUAAAGGAGCUUGGUUAAACUUUCGCUUUGUCUUUUUAUAUUUUGAUACAACAGUAUGGAGAUAGGUUAUCUUCUUACGGUAUUUGUCACCUGCUUUGUGAUUAUUUUUUUACUUGGCUGCCUUCUCCAUGAGAUUAUAUGCUUGAUGAGGACAGUUUUCCUCACCAUUGUAUCAUCAAUACAAUAAACAUUUUUUUUAAGAGAUGAAUAAAGAAAGUCAAUGCAGGGGGCCAGCCCAGUGGCAUAGUAGUUAAGUUUGUGCACUCUGCUUCCUCAGUCCAGGGUUUGUGGGUUCAGAUCCUAGGUAAGGACAUACACACCACUUAUCAAGCUGUGGUGGUGACCCACAUACAAAAGAGAGGAAGAUUAGCACAGACGUUAGCUCAGGG
Molecule: long non-coding RNA, 1601 nt
Filed under: Equus asinus (donkey)
Lineage: Eukaryota; Metazoa; Chordata; Mammalia; Perissodactyla; Equidae
Description: lncRNA (ENSEASG00005037954.1)
Source: RNAcentral